AUGAACGCUAGCGGCAGGCCUAACACAUGCAAGUCGAGGGGUAGAAGCAGCUUGCUGCUUUGAGACCGGCGCACGGGUGCGUAACGCGUAUGCAAUCUACCUUUUACAGAGGGAUAGCCCAGAGAAAUUUGGAUUAAUACUUCAUAGUAUGUGAGAAUCGCAUGGUUUUCACAUUAAAGUUCCAACGGUAAAAGAUGAGCAUGCGUCCCAUUAGCUAGAUGGUAAGGUAACGGCUUACCAUGGCGACGAUGGAUAGGGGUCCUGAGAGGGAGAUCCCCCACACUGGUACUGAGACACGGACCAGACUCCUACGGGAGGCAGCAGUGAGGAAUAUUGGACAAUGGGCGCAAGCCUGAUCCAGCCAUGCCGCGUGCAGGAUGACGGUCCUAUGGAUUGUAAACUGCUUUUGUACAGGAAGAAACACUCCCUCGUGAGGGAGCUUGACGGUACUGUAAGAAUAAGGAUCGGCUAACUCCGUG
Molecule: ribosomal RNA, 479 nt
Filed under: uncultured bacterium
Lineage: Bacteria
Description: bacterial SSU rRNA
Rfam family: Bacterial small subunit ribosomal RNA
Source: RNAcentral